GCGCGUGUGGAUGAUGGGGCAGGACGUCGGGCGCAUGGGCGGCGUCUUCGGCGUCACGCGCGGGCUGAUGGAGGAGUUCGGCGCGCUGCGCGUGCGC
RNAcentral lists this transfer RNA (97 nucleotides) under Capillimicrobium parvum. RNAcentral's name for it is "tRNA-Pro". Lineage: Bacteria; Bacillati; Actinomycetota; Thermoleophilia; Solirubrobacterales; Capillimicrobiaceae. The record is from RNAcentral.